AGGACGAACGCUGGCGGCGUGCUUAACACAUGCAAGUCGAGCGGAAAGGCCCUUCGGGGUACUCGAGCGGCGAACGGGUGAGUAACACGUGAGUAAUCUGCCUUCAGCUCUGGGAUAGCUCCGGGAAACCGGGAUUAAUACCGGAUAUGACCACUUCGGACAUCUGUUGUGGUGGAAAGUUUUUCGGCUGGAGAUGAGCUCGCGGCCUAUCAGCUUGUUGGUGGGGUAACGGCCUACCAAGGCGACGACGGGUAGCCGGCCUGAGAGGGCGACCGGCCACACUGGGACUGAGACACGGCCCAGACUCCUACGGGAGGCAGCAGUGGGGAAUAUUGCGCAAUGGGCGGAAGCCUGACGCAGCGACGCCGCGUGGGGGAUGAAGGCCUUCGGGUUGUAAACCCCUUUCAGCAGGGACGAAGCGCAAGUGACGGUACCUGCAGAAGAAGCGCCGGCUAACUACGUGCCAGCAGCCGC
RNAcentral lists this ribosomal RNA (474 nucleotides) under uncultured bacterium. RNAcentral describes it as "SSU rRNA". It matches the Rfam family "Bacterial small subunit ribosomal RNA", at positions 26 to 518 of the family's 1533-position model. The record is from RNAcentral.